RNAcentral lists this non-coding RNA (27 nucleotides) under Bombyx mori (domestic silkworm). Lineage: Eukaryota; Metazoa; Arthropoda; Insecta; Lepidoptera; Bombycidae. The record is from RNAcentral.
ACAUCAAGUAUGGCCCAGGCGGGAUGG